This 440-nucleotide ribosomal RNA is filed under the name uncultured bacterium. RNAcentral's name for it is "partial 16S ribosomal RNA". It matches the Rfam family "Bacterial small subunit ribosomal RNA", at positions 338 to 795 of the family's 1533-position model. The record is from RNAcentral.
CCUACGGGCGGCAGCAGUGGGGAAUAUUGCACAAUGGGGGAAACCCUGAUGCAGCGACGCCGCGUGAGUGAAGAAGUAAUUCGGUAUGUAAAGCUCUAUCAGCAGGGAAGAAAAUGACGGUACCUGAGUAAGAAGCCCCGGCUAACUACGUGCCAGCAGCCGCGGUAAUACGUAGGGGGCAAGCGUUAUCCGGAUUUACUGGGGGUAAAGGGAGCGUAGACGGCAGUGCAAGUCUGGAGUGAAAGGCGGGGGCUCAACCCCCGGACUGCUCUUGAAACUGUACGGCUGGAGUGCAGGAGAGGUAAGUGGAAUUCCUAGUGUAGCGGUGAAAUGCGUAGAUAUUAGGAGGAACACCAGUGGAGAAGGCGGCUUACUGGACUGUAACUGACGUUGAGGCUCGAAAGCGUGGGGAGCAAACAGGAUUAGAUACCCGAGUAGUC